AGUGAACGCUGGCGGUAGGCCUAACACAUGCAAGUCGAACGGCAGCACAGUAAGAGCUUGCUCUUACGGGUGGCGAGUGGCGGACGGGUGAGGAAUACAUCGGAAUCUACUUUUUCGUGGGGGAUAACGUAGGGAAACUUACGCUAAUACCGCAUACGACCUACGGGUGAAAGCAGGGGAUCUUCGGACCUUGCGCGAUUGAAUGAGCCGAUGUCGGAUUAGCUAGUUGGCGGGGUAAAGGCCCACCAAGGCGACGAUCCGUAGCUGGUCUGAGAGGAUGAUCAGCCACACUGGAACUGAAACACGGUACAGACUCCUACGGGAGGCAGCAGUGGGGAAUAUUGGACAAUGGGCGCAAGCCUGAUCCAGCCAAACCGCGUGGGUGAAGAAGGCCUUCGGGUUGUAAAGCCCUUUUGUUGGGAAAGAAAAGCAGCAGGUUAAUACCCCGCUGUUCUGACGGUACCCAAAGAAUAAGCACCGGCUAAAUUCGUG
RNAcentral lists this ribosomal RNA (492 nucleotides) under uncultured bacterium. Its description in RNAcentral is "partial 16S ribosomal RNA". It matches the Rfam family "Bacterial small subunit ribosomal RNA", at positions 29 to 507 of the family's 1533-position model. The record is from RNAcentral.